Non-coding RNA from Loxodonta africana (African savanna elephant), 1447 nucleotides. The record is from the annotation of a RefSeq genome assembly. NCBI's taxonomy places the organism in Eukaryota, Metazoa, Chordata, Mammalia, Proboscidea, Elephantidae.
UCCACUAAAGUGCAGCCCAUAAGUGAGUGAGAAAAAAAUGUACCAACCCCUUUCCCCGUGGUGUCUUCCCAACCUUUCCCCGUGAACCCGAUAGAAUUGCUCCUGGACCAUGCCCCUGGCUAUCCUCAGCCCAGACCAGCACUUCUGUCAGCCAGACACAGGAAAGCUCUGGGCUUCAUGGUAUGUCUUAGGGCCACCUGCCCACAACAGCAUGUCCCCACUUUGCGGGGGGUGACCUUCUCAGCAACGGUCUCAUAGCAGGGAAGCUUUAAUUACACCAUCAAGAGCCCUGGAUGACCCAGUCUCGUGGCUGUUGUGGGCUGCGUUUUUAGACAUCAGCUUGGAUGGGGGUCAUCAGAGGAGCAGGGACAGGGUGGCUGCCACCAGGGGAUUUUUGUUUAGGGAGAAUGCACUGUGGAACUGAAACACCGGGUAUGCACUCCUCUUUGGCAAAGGCACCUCACUGAUGGUCACACCCGAUAUCCAAGACCCCAACCCCUCUGUGUACCAGCUGAGAGGCUCUAAGUCCAGCAACACUUCUGUCUGCCUGUUCACCGAUUUCGAUUCUAAAGCCAACGUGUCACAUGGCUCAGAUCCCGGGGUGUUCGGCUCAGGACAAACUGUGGUGGACAUGAAGUCCACAGAUUCCAAGAGCAACGGGGCCCUGGCCUGGAGCAACAACACAGGUUUUGAGUGUAAUUACGUCUUCGGCGAGUCCACCGACUUCUACUCCAGCUCAGAAACUUCCUGUGAUGCCAAGUUGACAGAGAAAAGCUUUGAAACAGAUGCAAACUUAAACUUUCAAAACCUGUAUGUGAUCGGCCUUCGCAUCCUUCUCCUGAAAGUGGCUGGAUUUAACCUGCUCAUGACACUGCGGCUAUGGUCUAGCUGAGGUCACCGAGAUUGUAGGAGACCCUAUGCUCCCUCACUCCUCCUCCUUGUCACCCAUCCUCUCCCCCUUCAAGCAGAGAAGUGAACUCUCCGCCCCGCAUGGAAAAGAAGGCUCCCACUGACUCCCUGGCCCCAGCUGGCAAUGCCACCAACUGGAUUCUACCCAGCACUGGUGACCAAGAUGCUGAAGAGCUACCAUAUAUAUUGCAAGCCCCUCUGUUCCCUUAUUGCUGCUUUUCACCACCUGAGGUUCACGGCAAGGGGAGGGCUGCUGCCACCUCUCCUGGCUGUGGAGAGACACCCUCCUCCCAAGAGACUGUGACAGGCCCUCAGUGGGUUCUCUUGGACCCUAUCUCCUGGAAAUGUUUUGAGGAGUCUGUAUUUUUUUUUUAAAGAGUGUUCAUAUAGAAAUCCAUAUUACUCUUCUCCAAAGAAGUGGAGAAAACAAUCUCGUUAUCUGGGCCCUGCUGUGCUGUGUAUCUGAGUCAUGUAUAUUCUGCUGCCCACAGCUUCAUUAAAAGUGAUUUGGAAGAGCAAAGGCUGUGCUCCUGAUUGA